AUGGAGAAGGAAAUCCUGGCUCCAAGUUUACAUACAGUCCAAACAUUCAUGGAUGGUCAUGCCGAGCUCCGGGAUAUCCCCUCGGAAUAUCGUUGGCAAGAAGACAAGGGGGAGAUGAAGGCGGAUGAAUACCAUGGAUUAAGUUACAAUAAAGCGUUGGCCAAAUUCUUAUCAGACAAGGAACAAAAUUACAUGGCAUCUACUUCGGCUACGAUUCUUGGGGAGACAAUGGAUUUGGUGAAGCCACUGUGCACCAAGGAUGACGUUUUUCGCGUUCGUGUGGAGAUGCACCGUGCAAAGGAGUCUUACACUAAAGAAGAGACCCUCUUCAAGAGCGAGGCCAGGCAGGACGAGCUUCUUAUUGACCCCAAUCUCACCGCACCAUGCUGCUACGAUGCCAUGAGCAAUGGCCUCUCUGCGACUUCCUAUGCGCACUUCUUCCACAAGCGGGGGGCAACCCUUUUUCGGUAA
RNAcentral lists this ribosomal RNA (471 nucleotides) under Triticum aestivum (bread wheat). RNAcentral describes it as "partial small subunit ribosomal RNA". The record is from RNAcentral. Lineage: Eukaryota; Viridiplantae; Streptophyta; Magnoliopsida; Poales; Poaceae.